GACGAACGCUGGCGGCGUGCCUAAUACAUGAAAGUGGAACGCACAGUCCAUACAGUAUCUUGCUACACCAUCAACUGUGAGUUGCGAACGGGUAAGUAACGCGUAGGUAACCUGCCUGGUAUCGGGGGAUAACUAUUGGAAAGGAUAGCUAAUACCGCAUAAUAUUGAUUAUUUCAUGAUAAUUGUUUGAACGAUGCUAUUCCAUCACUACCAGAUGGACCUUCGUUGUAUUAGCUAGUAGGUGAGGUAACGGCUCACCUAGUCGACCAUACAUAGCCGACCUGAGAGGGUCAUCGGCCAACCUUGGACUGAGCCACGGCCCAGACUCCUCCGGGAGGCAGCUGUAGAGAAUCUUCGGCAAUAGACGACAGUCUGCACGAGCCACGCCGCGUGAGUGAAGACGCUUUUCGGCUCGUGAAGCUCUGUUGUAAGAGAAGAACGGGUGUGAGAGUGGAUAGUUCACACUGUGACGGUAUCUUACCAGAAAGGGCCGGCUAACUACGUG
Molecule: ribosomal RNA, 505 nt
Filed under: uncultured bacterium
Lineage: Bacteria
Description: partial 16S ribosomal RNA
Rfam family: Bacterial small subunit ribosomal RNA
Source: RNAcentral